AAUUCGCAUCACAGGGGUUCACUGUGACAUCUUCAAGUAGAAGGAAAGCACAAGGAAUAGGCAUUCCUCAUUCCAGGAGUGCAAAUACAACCUGGAGAUGUGUCAUUUAGUGGUUCAACGUGGUCUUUGCUCUUGUGAGUCUCUGAGUAUGAUUUGUUGGUGUCUCAAAAUCAGCGAAGAACAGUUGACCUUCACGUUCCCUCCCUCCACCAGCACUCGCUAGAGGAAGUCACUUCCACCCCGAUAACCUCAUCUGCAGAAGAAAAAGACUGAGAUUCAGAGAGGCUAGCUCUUUACCCAACAUGACACAACUUGGUAAGAGAAAGAACCAGAACUUGAACCCUGGGAGAAGUACAAAGCCCAGGACUCUAAUCUCAGGAGACGACAUAUUUCACAGUUACUAGCAUCUUCAUUUGACAGACAAGGAAACUGAUGUUUGAAGAACUUUGUAAUUUCUUCAAGGAUUGUUUCAGGGAGUUGAACAUGCAAGACUGGUGGAAAUGUCACUGCAUUGCCUUUCAGAGGUGAGAUGAGAAGCUUCUUCUUCUUUUUUUUUUUUUUCCAAAUCAUAUUUUCUUCCUUGACCAGAAGUGUUCCUAUAGGAAAAAAUUACUGACCAAGAUGGGUGUGAAAUUUGACUUGAAGGAAGCAAAUAGGUUCGCAACGUGAAUCCCACUUUCUCAUCGUUAUGUCUGAUUGCCAUGAGAAAGAAUAACCUUUGCAGAAGUGAACAGGGUGUUUGUUUGAAGUAUGUUCGGCAAGUUAUGAAUUUCCUAACUAGUCUUCCUUGAUCUGGGCAAAAUAAUUGCCUUUUAUCUGCACAAAUACAUGCAUUUGUUCCCCUAAUGCAUACUGCCAUCUUACAGAGUUUCGGCAUGGUCCCUCUGUGAGAUCCCAAACCGUUUUAGGAAUGGGCAGUAAGCUGUCUUUGAGUUCUAUCUGCAGGUAGACCUGGAUUUAUCCCAGAUCUACCAUUCACACAUAGCAUGACUUUGGGGUAUUACUUAAUCAAGUCUUGAUUCCUGAUCUGUAAAAUAGGUUGCUUAAAAAUCUUAAGUGAGAUCAUACACGUAGUAUAGAGCAAGUGCACAAUGAAUGGUAGUUACGAUUAUAAUGAUCAGGAUGAAAUUCUUCAAUGAUCCCCCUUUCCCUUCUAGAGUUAUUUUUUUCCCUCCUACACUUAAUUCUGUGUGUCUAAAUAACAAAGAUGUAAAAAACUUUGAAUUCGUCAGCAUCAGCUGACAAAGUGAUAUCACAAUUUUAAAGUGACAGAGAAAAAUCAAAGACAUAUAGCCUUUCACUUUGAGCCUUUUCAAUUCAGGCAGAAUCUGUUUUCUCCCCAAGUUUAUUGAGGGAUAAUUGACAAAAUUUGUGUAUAUUUAUGGUGUAUAAUGUGAUAUGUGUGUGUAUAUACACACAUCAUGAAAUGAUUACCACAAUCAAGCUAAUGAACAUAGCCAUCAUGUCAUGUGGUUAUUUAUUUUUUUGUGGAAAAAACAUUUAAGAUCUACUCUCUUAGCACUUUUCAAGUAUACAACACAUUAUUAUUAACUACAGUCACCAUAGUGUGCAAUAGAUUUGGAAAAACUUCUUCCUUCUGUUUAAACUGAAACUUUGUAUCCUUUGACUAACAUUUUCCCUUUCCACUCCUUCCCAGGCCCUGUAACUACCAUUCUACUCCUGCUUCUUUUUUUUUUUUUUUUUUUUUUUUUUCUUUUACAAGGACAGAUAGCUUGGAUCUACUCCUGCUUCUAUGAGUUUAACUUUUUUAGAUUCCAAAUAUAAGUGAGAGUAAGUGAUAUUUGUCUUUCUGUGCCUGGUUUAUUUCACUUAGCAUAAUGUCACCCAGGUUCCUCUAUGUUGUCCCAAAUGACAGGAUUUCCUCCUUUUUAAAGGCUGAAUCAUAUUUACUUAUAGACCAUAGACUUAAAUAUGAAAGCUAAAACUAUUCAAUUCUAAGAAGAAAACACAGGAGUAAGCCUGUGACCACAGAUUAGACCU
Microcebus murinus (gray mouse lemur) is the source of this 2001-nucleotide non-coding RNA. The record is from RefSeq and is a predicted model, not a curated record. Lineage: Eukaryota; Metazoa; Chordata; Mammalia; Primates; Cheirogaleidae.